GGGCAACCAUUUUGUUGCAAGCGUCAUCACUGCUCUCGGUCUACUCUCAGAUUUCCAAAAGUUGGAGACAAAAAGGGGUGCCUCCGAGAAAUGCCGCAAGAAAGCUUUGAGAUCUUCGACUUUCGACUCGGAAUCCUAGCGUCCGAGGAUUGAGGAACACACCAUCAGCUUCACUGCACUCGGUCCACCGCUGGACUGGGCAUAGGGCAUGGCGGGCAUAUGCCCGGUGGCCUGAAGCCUUUUUUUUUUUUUUUUAUUCAUGCCAAACUCGCGUCUUACGUAGCAGGCCACGUUAACUUCAAUGCAGGCCACAUUAACGUCAAUUCAAGUUAAUGCAAGUUAAACUGGCAGAUCUGCCCUUUAUCAUGAUUGAUUGAAGCCUGGGCCAAUGAGGUGAGGGGCAGGCCAAUUACGCCUACCCCUCCAUCUCAGCCUCCGUUGGUGACUUGGUUGGUUAGCCACUGCUAGCAGGCAGAUCGAAAACGGGCAAUAUGGACCCUAGUGGGAAGAAAAGAAAGGGUGGCGCUGAAAGAGCCAGGGACCAGAAAAAAGCAGCCCUUCAGGCAGAUGCUACGAAAUGCCUAAAAAUAGCUGAUAUGUUUGCUGCUCGUGGACAUGGAGCCUCCACAUCUGCAGCAGCAGCAUCAACAGGUAGUGGAGGAGAAGAUGCUCGACAGCAGGUGGACGAGGCGGCCAUGACGGUUCCCAUGCUUAAGGAGUGCUGGGUGUUGCUGCUGAGAAGAGGCAGAUGGGAUAGCAUCAGCAUCUCUCCCACUUGUUGGAGUGUGUGUGUGUGUGUGUGUGUGUGUGUGUGUGUGUGUGUGUGUGUUCUGGUCCAUUUGAAAGCUCUCAUUGGUUUGCAUGCUGCAUGUAAGUUACCCAUUCCUUUUCGUUUUAAUGUUUGUUUUAUUGAUAUUCAUAUUCUUAAUAUACAGUAUAAUUGUGUAUUUAUUUACUUUAUUUUUUCUAUUUAUUUUGUACAGUUAAGUGAUUUGUUAAGUUAAGCAAUUUAUUUUAUUUUGUACAGUUAAGUAAUUAUUGACUCAUUGUAAAUAUAAGUGUUUAACUUCAAUUGUUAUGUGUGUCAUCACUUUUUAUUUUAUAUUCAAAAUUAAAUGGAUGAAAAUCC
This is a long non-coding RNA of Gadus morhua (Atlantic cod), 1129 nucleotides long. RefSeq lists it as uncharacterized. The transcript has 2 exons. Lineage: Eukaryota; Metazoa; Chordata; Actinopteri; Gadiformes; Gadidae. The record is from RefSeq and is a predicted model, not a curated record.